This 254-nucleotide ribosomal RNA is filed under the name uncultured bacterium. RNAcentral's name for it is "partial 16S ribosomal RNA". It matches the Rfam family "Bacterial small subunit ribosomal RNA", at positions 524 to 776 of the family's 1533-position model. The record is from RNAcentral.
UACGUAGGGUGCGAGCGUUGUCCGGAAUUACUGGGCGUAAAGAGCUCGUAGGCGGUUUGUCGCGUCGUCCGUGAAAACUUGGGGCUCAACCCCAAGGCUUGCGGGCGAUACGGGCAGACUUGAGUACUGCAGGGGAGACUGGAAUUCCUGGUGUAGCGGUGAAAUGCGCAGAUAUCAGGAGGAACACCGGUGGCGAAGGCGGGUCUCUGGGCAGUAACUGACGCUGAGGAGCGAAAGCCAGGGGAGCAAACGGG